Cherax quadricarinatus is the source of this 1864-nucleotide non-coding RNA. The record is from RefSeq and is a predicted model, not a curated record. Lineage: Eukaryota; Metazoa; Arthropoda; Malacostraca; Decapoda; Parastacidae.
UACGCGCCUAAGUAAAAAUAGCGACCACAGUAACAACAGUCGGUCUUAUACAAAAAGGCAGUCAUCGACUUCCUGGACCAGGGCGAAACGUCGCCAGCAGACACCACCCCCAACCUCACCCGCUAAGCGUGUAGUGACUUGUUUCAACUGUGGCAAACGAGGGCACUACCGAUCUGAGUGUUACAAACUUAAGUCCCUCUCUGGGGUAGCUAGUGUAAUUCCUUUAUACCUAUGGGCCCACCAGUAUUGUCGCGUCGGGACGACGCGAGGUGCGUGGCCGAGCAAAUGUAGACAGCCUGUACUGGCAGAGCACACAGCCUAGCCGUCUGCUCUGACUAGUUCAUAUUUCGCGGCAUUCAGUGCUGCCCUCUGAGUUACAUGUCACACCUUAGGAAAUGCUACUGUCAGUCAUUGUUUGCAGAUGUGAGCGUGCAACAACGUUAGUAGACGAGUGGUCAACUGAUGUUCAGCCCUGCGGACAACCUGUAUAUAGAAGAUUUUAGUUCCAGUGCUGACGUCUCCCGGCUCUCUACUCGAUGAAACAGCGCGGGCAAACCAGUUUUCUCUUCCCCUGGAUGGGAGAGUUUUUUUUUGCCUGUUGCAUUUUUUUUUUGUCCAUUUUUUAUUUACUAGUGAGCGAAAGCCAGUCCCUCUCUGGGGUAGCUAUUGUAAUUCCUUUAUACCUAUGGGCCCACCAGUAUUGUCGCGUCGGGACGACGCGAGGUGCGUGGCCGAGCAAAUGUAGACAGCCUGUACUGGCAGAGCACACAGCCUAGCCGUCUGCUCUGACUAGUUCAUAUUUCGCGGCAUUCAGUGCUGCCCUCUGUAGGCCUACCUAGGUCGGUGGGACACACAGUCCACCCUCUCUCACUCCCGCCUCGACCGACUUGACGUACACAGGUACUCCCCCUCCACGGACUGGCUUGCGGUCACUUCCUCACACUGCCCGUUGUGUACUCACUCCUACCCGAUUAAAGCCAAUCUAGUCCACGGCCGUAUCAUUGCUACCUACGCUACCUUCAUCGGCACUAAACCGUGUUCAACAGCAAGAACAGCAAUAACACAUAAACGCACCUUUUAGUGAAGGUACAGUCAAUGGUAUGAAUGUGUCAACCAUUCUUAGAGACACUGGAUGUUCCUGUAUUGUUAUCUCGAGUAAGCUUUUCCCUAACCUAGAUUCUUCACGUUAUAAGUCCACUAAGUUAAACUGACUAUUUAGGAAGAAGCGAUUCUUUUCCAACAGUCAGAUGUUUUGUUAGGUGCAAAUGGUUCUCAGGAUGGGUAGAUGCCGUAGUUGCCCGAUAACCUCGUGUUCUGUUUUGGUUGGGAACAUAAAAGGGGCUGCUUUCCCUUCUGAGAAGGACUGUUUGGAAUUUGGAGUUUCCAAGGAAGGGUUGGAACCUAAUAUCUCUGUUUCUUCACAGAUAGUUCCAGAUGAGAUUCAGUUGGAUAACCUAAAUCAGAGAGCUGAUGGUUACAAAACUCCGGUAACACCUUUAGUAAGUCAGUCACUUGAACUGGACAACGCAGACGCCAGUGGAAAACUACGUGUGGCACAAUCUAUACAACAACUAGACUCAAUUAACGUCGUUACCAGAGCUCAGUCUAAGCUCUGUUCCUGGCGUGGUCUUCCAGGAUAGACGCCAGAUAAAGGGGCAAGACGUAUGUUAAUAAUACUUAUUAACAUUAUUCUACUUCUACCGGCCCUUACCUAUUCUACUUGUGCUCCAUCCAAGUGGUAGGAGAUUCCAGAACAUCGGAUUACCAUCUGCCCAGGAUAACCUACAUAAAUAACAUCAGAGGAACUAUCCAGGGCCAUACCUACUCCUGCCCAACUAAAAGAACUGAAGGCCAUUUUUUUUUA